CCUACGGGUGGCAGCAGUGGGGAAUAUUGGACAAUGGGGGCAACCCUGAUCCAGCCAUGCCGCGUGUGUGAAGAAGGCCCUCGGGUUGUAAAGCACUUUCAGUGAGGAAGAACGCCUGGUGGUUAAUACCCAUCAGGAAAGACAUCACUCACAGAAGAAGCACCGGCUAACUCCGUGCCAGCAGCCGCGGUAAUACGGAGGGUGCGAGCGUUAAUCGGAAUUACUGGGCGUAAAGCGCGCGUAGGUGGCUUGAUAAGCCGGUUGUGAAAGCCCCGGGCUCAACCUGGGAACGGCAUCCGGAACUGUCAAGCUAGAGUGCAGGAGAGGAAGGUAGAAUUCCCGGUGUAGCGGUGAAAUGCGUAGAGAGCGGGAGGAAUACCAGUGGCGAAGGCGGCCUUCUGGACUGACACUGACACUGAGGUGCGAAAGCGUGGGUAGCAAACAGGAUUAGAUACCCUUGUAGUC
This 465-nucleotide ribosomal RNA is filed under the name Vreelandella stevensii. Its description in RNAcentral is "partial 16S ribosomal RNA". It matches the Rfam family "Bacterial small subunit ribosomal RNA", at positions 338 to 795 of the family's 1533-position model. Lineage: Bacteria; Pseudomonadati; Pseudomonadota; Gammaproteobacteria; Oceanospirillales; Halomonadaceae. The record is from RNAcentral.